AAAAAAUUAGUUAAAUUAUAUAACAUUAACUUGUCAAGUUAAAAUUAUUUAAAUAAAUAUUUUUUA
Molecule: transfer RNA, 66 nt
Filed under: Tenomerga trabecula
Lineage: Eukaryota; Metazoa; Arthropoda; Insecta; Coleoptera; Cupedidae
Description: tRNA-Asp
Source: RNAcentral